CUACUUUUGAAGAAAAAAUUAUGACUAUAAAAAGAUUUUAAUGGUUUAUAUAAAUUACAUUGAUUCUAUUUUAAGUGGAGGUGUAAUUCAGAGAGUUUCAGUAACCUUUAAAAAUGUUUAGCUUAUGACUUUUUAAAUCUGUAGAAUUGAAAAGAAGCCAAAAAGAUUUAUGAUUUUUCAUGACUUAAAAGCUGCACCAUUGGGUGGGCACAAGAGUAUUGAGCCUAAUGUUCUGCGUUAUCUCUUGGAUCCUGUUUUGCAUAUCAGGUCAUCUUCUAUCAGAGUAUAUUUACUACUUUUUAUAGUUUACUCUAAUGAGAAGGUAAUUAAUUGUAUAAGACUUAUUCCUUCAUUCAGAAUUUUCUCGUCUUCUAUGCCUGAAACUUAGAGCACUGUAUACUGAGGUCUGUCAUAUUUUAGAGGACAAGGAGUCUCAGAGUGUUUUUUAUAAAGAGAUGUAAAUCUCAUUACCUCCAGAAAAGUGCUAGAUAAGUUGCUUAAAGAGUUUAUAAAUCCUGAUAAAUAAUAGCCUUCUUCAUUUGAGAAAUCUCAUCUCUUUUUAAAAAAUUUUUUAAUCUUGAAAUAAUUUUAGACUCACAAAAAAUUGCAAAAUUAUUAGAGUUCCUGUGUAUCCAUCACACAGUUUCUCCCAAUGAUAACAUUUUAGCUAACCAUAGCAUAAUAUCAAGACUAGGAGAUUGACUUUGAUAUACUCCUAUUAACUAAAGUACAGACCUUAUUUGGAAUUUACAGUCUUAUCUCUUUUUUUUUAAAACUUUUUUUAUUUUUUAGAGUAGUUUUAGGUUUCACAGCAAAAUUGAGUGGAAGGUACAGAGUUCCCAUAUACUUUCUGCCUCCACACUUGCACAGUGUCCCCCACACUUGCACAGCCUCCCCCACUAUGAACAUUCCCCACCAGAGUGGUACAUUUGUCACAGUCAGUGAACCUGCACUGACACAUCAUUAUCACUCAAAGUCUAUAGUUUACAUUAGAGUUUACUCAGUGUUGUACAUUCUAUGAGUUUUGACAAAUGAAUAAUGACAUGUAUCCACCAUUGUGGUAUGAUACAAAAUAGUUUUACUGCACUAAAAAAUCCUCUGCGCUCUGUUUAUCAGCAACCCACCACCCCCACCCCCAACUCUGGCAACCACUAAUCUUUUUAUUGUCUCCAUAGUUUUGCCUUUUCCAAAAUCUCUAUAUGAGGCUAUCCUAAUAAGAUUUUUUCUGUUAAGAAUUUAUUUGUACAAUGAAAUUGUUUUUUCUUGUCUUCAGUUAGAUAGUUGAAUAUUGAAAAAUGAAGGCAAGUUUGAUGUAAUUCUAUGUAGUGCCUUGGAAUGUAAGAACUGUUCAGUUAAUAACUUUUUGCCAUAACAUUUCUUGAAAAGUUGUAUCAUUUUUCAGACAAUCAACUUUUUUCUCUUUGGGUAGAAAGACUUUUCCCACUCCAAAAUACACUGAACAAGUAUGCAAUAAAAAACAGUAUUUAAACAUUACCAUCUCAGACAAAAACAUACUAAUUUACUUGACACUUUCUACACACAGAUUAUUACUUCAAACACAUUUGAAUUGUGCAUCAGGUUAUUUUGCUUUGCAUAAGUAUGUCAGAUGAGAGAAAUGAAGAGGUUGCAUCUUCUAGAACAUUAGUCUGUUAUGUGCAGAUGCCAUUUCCAUGUGUUUUGAAGUUCCCUAAAGGUUUUUUUGUGUGUGUGUUAUAACUUAAUUGUUUUUAACUUUUUUUUUUUUAAAGAUUGGCACCUGAGCUAUUAUGUUGCCAAUCUUUUUUUUCUUUUCUUUUCUUCUCUUCUUCUUCUCCCCAAAGCCUCCCAGUACAUAGUUGUAUAUCCUAGUUGUGAGUGCCUCUGUGCUAUAUGGGAUGCCACCUCAGAAUGACGUGACAAGCCGUGCCAUGUGUGCACCCAGGAUCCAAAUGAGUGAAACCCUGGGCCACAGAAGCAGAGUGUGUGAACUUAACCACUCGGCCAUGGGGCCAGCCCCUGUAACUUAAUUUUAAGUGCAGUUUGAAUGCAAGAUAACCAUUAAUUCUCAGAAGGGUGGAAAAUUGGUGGGGGUAAAAUGAUGGAGAAAACAGAAUUUACCUUCCAAAGAAAGAUUCCUUUAUUCCUCUCCUCUACCAACCACCACCCAUUAUCAAGUUUUCCUUCUUGGCAGGUAUAAUAAAACUUCUUUGCAAUAUAUUUUAUGUAUAUUCUCUUAUGUUUAUUGCUUACAAACUUGUUUUAUUAUUCAGUUGAUAUGUUUUUUGGUAUCUUGGGAUAUAGUGUAUUAUAAUGUGCCCUAUUAAAAUUAAUGAAAAAAAAUUUUAUUUGAAGCUUUUUUGCUUAGUGACAGUGCUUCCAGGAAUAAAUUAAAGGCGUUAAGUGAAGGACAGAGGCAGUAGUGAUUAAGAACACAGGCUCCCAAGACAGACUGCUGGCUUCAAAUCCUGGCCCUGCUACUUACUAUCUGACUUUGGGCAAGUCAUUAUAACCUUGGGUAUGGUGUAUGUUGUGUGGAGGGAGAUUCACCACACUGUUCACUGAGGUUACCUCUGGGGCUGUUGAAAGACCAUCUGAGAUUUUAGGAAUUACUCUUCCCCUUGAGGAAGUUUGAAGCUACAUAAAGAUUGGAUUGCUGUCCAGGUUCUUAGCGUUUUCCUUUAAUUUUUUUUCUGUACUUUAUUUUUUGAGUGGUGCUGAACAUAAACAUCUUGGUGUCUCCAUUAAUGUUUCAGAAAAUUAUGGUUUUUCAUUUGUGAAUGUAAAAGUUCUGCUAAUUUAAAAAUGUAAAAGUAGCUGUAUUUUCAGAUUAUAAAAAUAAUAAAUAUUUGUUAUGGAAAACUCUCAGGAGAAUUUGAUGCUUGAUACUCCUCACACCAAGAGACCUUCCUUCUCUUGGGAAGUAGAUGAAAUUAAUAGGCUAUGGUUUUUAUCUAUUGUUUUUAAGCAAGGUACAUAAGGAUCUUUGUAUCCCUUCCUAGAAGAUAAGUUGCAACAAAGAGAACUCUCAAUGUCUAUAAAUUAUCUUUAAAGUCUGUUUGUUUAGAAACUGCCCUCGCUCUAUUUUUAUAAAAGUUAGAAGCUUAUUACUCUUUUGUUAUUUGAGUAAAAGAAUAUUGUGAUUAGUGUUACGAGUCCAGUAUUUCUGCUCUGGGAAAAUGAUAAAAAGGGCAGAAUGCUCUAUUUCCUACCCUACCCAAACUGUUACCAAGAUGUUCCUGCAAAGUGCAUGGUUAUAGGCUGCAGGCAAAAAUUCUUCAUUGCCUUCAUACCUGGUCUGGACUGCAGGACUGUUCAGACAGUUAAAGAAUGCCAUCUUUGGUGGAGCAGUGCACGUAAUACCGGGCUAAUACUUGCUAUUAUUUAAUAGCCACCAAAG
This is a long non-coding RNA of Equus asinus (donkey), 3376 nucleotides long. The record is from Ensembl. NCBI's taxonomy places the organism in Eukaryota, Metazoa, Chordata, Mammalia, Perissodactyla, Equidae.